Molecule: long non-coding RNA, 95 nt
Organism: Etheostoma cragini (Arkansas darter)
Lineage: Eukaryota; Metazoa; Chordata; Actinopteri; Perciformes; Percidae
Exons: 3
Source: RefSeq, a predicted model, not a curated record
GCAGUUUACAUGUCAAAGUGUCCUUGGGCAAGAUAAUGAACCCCAAAUUGCUUCUAAAGGCUGUGCCAUCAGUGUAAUGAACGUGCAUGUGAAUG